GAUCGGGCUGAAUGGUCUGCCUUCGGGUAUGCACUGUUUGGCUGGAUCUUUCCUUCUGGCUAGCCAGCGUGUUCUUUACUGAAUGCGCUGGGGAUCCAGGACUUUUACUUUGAAAAAAUUAGAGUGUUUAAAGCAGGCUCACGCUUGAAUACAUUAGCAUGGAAUAACGAAAUAGGACGU
This 180-nucleotide ribosomal RNA is filed under the name uncultured Glomeromycotina. RNAcentral describes it as "partial small subunit ribosomal RNA". Lineage: Eukaryota; Fungi; Glomeromycota. The record is from RNAcentral.